AAAGACUUCAAAGUAUUUUGAAUAAGAAUGAAAUUCACGGUUCAGAGGUUGAGUGUUUGUAUUGGAAGACUUGCAAUAGAUAGUGUGCGCGUGUGUUAUAUUUUGCCAUCCACUUAGUCUAGUAUUUAUAUAUCUCAAUGAGAAAUAGAUGUUGCACAUGACCGUUUAAGAAGAGACCAGACAAGUCACGUUCCUUCCCUAAGACUAGGGAUAAUGUAAGAAGGCUAUUCUGAACCACUUGAAAGGCCGCUUUCUUCAUUGGUAAAAGUGUUGAUGCAGUGAUUCAACCUUCAUGACCAAGUCUUCACAAGGAUCAAGAUCAAUCCAGAGGAUUCCCCAAGUGCCCUGACUGUGAACACUGUAUUAACUAAGCCAGUUUUAUUGGCUUAUAUGUUUGUGCGGAUAGCUAUUUGUGAGCCUUGGAUGCAAGUUAUAUGCUUCCCAUGUUGAAACAGUUGCAUAAUUUGGUGUAGUGUUUCUUCUUUUUGCUUUGGGGCUGGAGUUUUCCCUGGCAAAGGUUCUCUAUUCGUGAGUUGCCAAAUUUUCUUUUACCAUUACACAAAUUUUGGUGGAACGGAAUAGUAAUAAUGCUCUUCGUGUUCAAGUUACAAUUGGCACUCUUAUUUUUCAGGAUUGUUCAGUGGGUCUACUAUUUGCGUUGCUCCCAGUCUUGGGCGGUAACAGUGGUCUUUUACAAAUUACAAGGGAUUAUUUCAAUGGGUAAACUUUUUUAACUUCAGGUUGCUAGUGUUGUCCUUGUAUCUCACUGCUACAUCGAUACUGUCUUGGUCGCUUGUUCCUCACUUUCUUAAACUCAUGAUGAGGCUCUCGUGUCAGACAAAUGAACUUUAUCAGCUAGCUGCUGUUGCUUUCUGCUUGUUAUCUGCAUGGGUAUAUGCAGUUUUGGCUUGUCAUUUUGAGGGCAAAAUUUUCAUUUGCUUACUUUCUUCAGGCAGAUGAAAAAACCAUUUGGUUUAGAGAAAGUCUCAAAGAAGGGUGGUAUCUGGAAAGACAUUUAUGGGACUGAUGAAAAGAAGGUUGUCGAUAGGGUUAGCGAAGAUGAAGUUGAUAUUUUGGUAGAACUUACUGGUCAUACUGCAAACAAUAAACUAGGAGUGAUGGCAUGUCGACCUGCUCCAGAACCUGAUAAUAACAGCUUCAAUAGCAGUGUAGCUGAUCAGCAAGUAUGUCUGAUAGUGGUGUUGGUCUGUUGGAGUUGUUAUUUCCUUUGAAAACAAGCUAGUGUUUCAUUGUGUUUAAAACUUUAAAUGAUUCCUAGACUUCAUUCCUGUCAAUUUCAAAUUCAUAAAAUAAUACAUCAUCCCUUGUAUCUCUGAAUAGAAAUAUGUAAAUCAAAAGUGAAAGUGGGAUCCCAAUUCUCAGAUUAA
Trifolium pratense (red clover) is the source of this 1388-nucleotide RNA transcript. It is a transcript of the gene named K(+) efflux antiporter 5-like, with no coding region annotated. The record is from RefSeq and is a predicted model, not a curated record. NCBI's taxonomy places the organism in Eukaryota, Viridiplantae, Streptophyta, Magnoliopsida, Fabales, Fabaceae. The transcript has 9 exons.